RNAcentral lists this ribosomal RNA (497 nucleotides) under uncultured bacterium. RNAcentral's name for it is "partial 16S ribosomal RNA". It matches the Rfam family "Bacterial small subunit ribosomal RNA", at positions 28 to 507 of the family's 1533-position model. The record is from RNAcentral.
GACGAACGCUGGCGGCGUGCCUAAUACAUGCAAGUUGAGCGCUGAAGGAUGGUACUUGUGCCCACUGGAUGAGCAGCGAACGGGUGAGUAACGCGUGGGGAAUCUGCCUUUGAGCGGGGGACAACAUUUGGAAACGAAUGCUAAUACCGCAUAAAAACUUUAAACACAAGUUUUAAGUUUGAAAGAUGCAAUUGCAUCACUCAAAGAUGAUCCCGCGUUGUAUUAGCUAGUUGGUGAGGUAAAGGCUCACCAAGGCGAUGAUACAUAGCCGACCUGAGAGGGUGAUCGGCCACAUUGGGACCGGGACACGGCCCAAACUCCUACGGGAGGCAGCAGUAGGGAAUCUUCGGCAAUGGAGGAAAGUCUGACCGAGCAACGCCGCGUGAGGGAAGAAGGGUUUCGGAUCGUAAAACUCUGUUGGUAGAGAAGAAAGUUGGUGAGAGUGGAAAGCUCAUCAAGUGACGGUAACUACACAGAAAGGGACGGCUAACUACGUG